This 146-nucleotide long non-coding RNA is filed under the name Ictidomys tridecemlineatus (thirteen-lined ground squirrel). RNAcentral's name for it is "lncRNA (ENSSTOG00000033834.1)". Lineage: Eukaryota; Metazoa; Chordata; Mammalia; Rodentia; Sciuridae. The record is from RNAcentral.
GUUUUCUAAAAGCAACUGAGGAUUGGACACAAAGGGCUAUGAACAUCUCUGAGAACAGAACAAGUGACCAGAAGAUGCUGUCAGUGUGGAAGGUAAUUGCUGGACUGAAGAGUUACCAUUCCUGUUUCUUUCCCCAUCUGGCAAGG